This is a long non-coding RNA of Bombus pyrosoma, 4129 nucleotides long. RefSeq lists it as uncharacterized. The record is from RefSeq and is a predicted model, not a curated record. The transcript has 3 exons. NCBI's taxonomy places the organism in Eukaryota, Metazoa, Arthropoda, Insecta, Hymenoptera, Apidae.
CGGAUGCUUAUCGGAUAGAUAAUGUCAGAGUAUGUGCAAAGAUAUCUCGAAGGCAUGUUGAGUUAGGCAACGCGGUGAAAAUACGCCUUAGAUUCGCAACGCAAAUUUUCAGUAGUUUCCAGUUUUAUUUGGCAUAACACAUGAAGGAAUUUGGAGGUUGCUGAGAAACAAUUAGUUUUCGUUUAAAGAUAAACAACUUGUCCGAUGCAUUAAAUUGGAUGUGACUGAAUAAGGGUUUGAUCGCCAGAAUCAGAGGAUUAUAACAUUGAUUUUGGAAGAAAUUCUUCAAUGGCUGAAUGAAUGAGAGAAAGAAGCAAUAGAUGGCAUUAUUUCAGAUAAUUGGAGGGAUGUAUCGUAUAUAGAUCGAUCUCUAUUUUAUCCUAUACUGAACCGAUAAUGUCGCAUGUGACACUAAAAUGCUAUAGGGGGCUACGUAGUUCUCGUGUCAUGGAACAUUUUUUUGUAAUUUAUGCAAGUCUAUCUUAUUCUUAGUCAAUAUCAAUGCUAUUAAUAAUAAUUUUGACACAUCACAUGAUGGUCAUAAUUCAUCAUCUAAGCAUAAAACAAAAACAUCUAUAUCCAUCAUCGGUAUAUUAUCGAUAACCGAUAAUACCAUUUUUUUUUAUCAUCGGAGCAGUGAUAGCUGAAAACAUUGACUUAGGACGGAGUAAACGUGACGUUAAAUGAGACCACAGACGGUUUUAGGUUAAGGUUGUAUACAUAUGCAGUUGAAGAAGGACUAGAAUUCAUGUAUAGUAUUAUUCCUAUAAUAUAGUUUAUAGAUUUGUUAAUUUAUAAAUUGUUAUUGAUCGUAUCGUAAAUUAUCGCGAUACUUGUUAAUCUUUAUUAGCAAAUAUUUUCUAAAAACAUGUGGUUUUUAGUAUAAAAUAAAACGUUCGCAGAUUUGGAAUCAUUGUCUUAAAUUAUUAUAUAAUUCUGAAUCAUCAAUUUUCGAUACCUUUUUAUCACGCGGGAAAGAGUUAACCAAAAUAUUAACGUCGAAUGAAACUUAGAAACUUGUGUCUUCCUUAAUAUUACUAAACACGUAUUAACACAUAUGUGUCAUAUGUAACAAAUCAUUUAUAUUUACACAUCUUUAAUAACUUUGCAUAUGAUUUUAGUCGAUUGUUGUAUGUAUUCUCUUCUGUCAUUCAGGAAGCUUCCAUCGACGUUCUUCAAGCGUCGAAAAAUGAAUUCUCUUACUAGGAGAAUAGGAUGAUACAAGAGAUCAUCUAGUACCGCCAUUUUGUUUCUACUUUUCUGGUACUGCGCGUCUAUCUCACUUACCAGGAGAACAUAAUCGUUCAGAGAAAUUAAACUACAACUUCUUGCUUUUCGUGUUCUCCUAUUAUCCUCCUCUUGCGAUUUUCUUAUUAGGGGAACAAUUGAAUAAAGGAGUAGUCAUGAAGUUGCCUGCGUUUCAUAUUCUCCUGUUAUGCUUGUUAGAAAAGAGACUUCAAAGGUGCUCAACACUCUCGAAAAUAAUAUAAGAAUAUAAGAUACGACUAUAAGAUAAGAAAUUAAUUAAAAAGAUGUUUUGAAAAAAUAUAUUUAAUCGCACAGCUUCUUAAUUUAUCUUUUUGAUAAUUGGUAGUGCGAAAGCUUUCCAUCUGAUUUUUUUUCAAUGAUGAAGAAAUAGAAAAGUGGAGAAGGUUAUUGUAUAAAUAAAUUUGUGAACGAUUGUAAUUCCAUUCUUUAUCAAAGAUGUCGUUUUCAAAAGUAAAGAUGUGCUGAAUUCGAUCAAAUUAAAUAAUUCGCAGAGUGCAAAGAGUUAAUAUGGCUUUAAUUAAUUUUUUCUGGUAUCUGUAAUGAAAAUCGAGUAACGACAAAAGUGACACAAUUGUAUCGUAAAUAUUUCUCAAUAUAUUUAUUUCUCGAUUUGUUUGUAAUGGGACUACACGGUAACAAUAACAUACAGAUUAAUCUUAAAGCUUUAAAUCUUCGAAGCAUCUUAUCGCUCUACAUAUUCAGACACCUAAUCAAAUAGCGGAUAUUGUCAACAAUCACAGAGACUUUUAUUUGACUUUUGUCAUGCGCGUUUCCUAUUAUUUAAGGAGAACGCGCAAGACGAUUUCUCAUAAAAAUUAAUACGCUCCUGGGAGGAGGAAACAAAUGGAAACGCGUUGCGAGCUUAAAAUUUAAUUACAAAAUGAGCGGCCAACGAAUAAUAAAUACGACGUUCGAAGUUGCGAAAUUAAAAAGAGAACGGAAGACUAUAAUAUCGUCGAUCGAUCGAUCAAGGACGAGUCAUAUUCCAAACUCGAUUUAUUUUUACUUUAUUCUCUUCUUCUCGUCUAAAGAAUUAAUACGACAAAAAUUUAUCAAUCGAUUCUUAGGAGAUAAAUAGAAGUAUAUCCCGAGAAAAAGAGAGCAAGAAAAGGAUAAAACGAACCAGUCAGUCGUUCAGUAACUGUUAACUUGCUUAACUCAUUAUCGACUAAUGUUACGUUAACGCAACACGACUCUUAGAACUCUCUUGGUUAAUUUAUAUGAUCGAAUUCUUUUAACACUGCAACUAUGAAAAGAAAAUCUAAAGGUUUGAUCCAUUUUUUCUUUUCGCAUUUAGAGUCUACGAUUUUAUAAAGAUUGAAGAAAUUGAUUAAUGAUAAAUUAUUUUGUUUUGGUUAACCUAUCGAAAAGGUACGUUCUAAACAAUUUUUGCUGGUACGUAUAAUGGGUACUUUAUUCUAAUUUUCAAGUUAUACACAAAGGUAUAUUUCGUACCAUAUAUAUCUUGUGAAGCUGUCGAAUCUGUUAUCUCCCCGUGAAUUUUAACGUCGCAUUUUUUAUCUCCAUAGUAACGUAUAGACAAUGGGAAAAAAUAGUGAAAACUCCAGUCUCUGAAUUCCAAAUAAGUAGCGUUAGGUUAUUUAAGUGACGGCGGUGAUAUACAUUAGCGAUUAAAACUCAGUGACGUUGGAAAGAAGAGAAAAUUCCAAGUUACGAAUAAGUACGAUGUGCAUUCCAUUAGAAAUUUUGUCAAAUUCUAUUUGUUACAAGCGUGCUCGGUUACCAUGAGAGGCACUUACCGAUAACGAUGCAACUACAUUGACAAAGUUUUAAUUUGGACACGCACACCCAUCUGCACGCAAUAAUCGAAAAGUGCUUGUACACGACAUUAUAAGUGGUAAAAUUAAGUGGCAAAAGAAAAUUUCAAUUUUUAUUGGAAAAUAUUCCAAUCAAAAUGUACCAACUGAGAAUACUACAGUAUAGUAGCUAAGUGCAAUUAUCCUUUCUAAGUAGUUAACAAUAACGUUAGACAAUGGUGUUACAACGUUGCCUGUAUAGAAAGAAAUAUAAGCGCCAAUAGACGUUAGUUAAGUGAUUUAUGGCUUUUGUCUAUGCCAUCUACUUAAACGAAUGGAACAUUGAGUUUUAUCUACAACUAAGAGGUGGCACGUACGUGCUUUUCUACAGACACACUUAUUCUGUUUCAUGAAUUUGGGGACUACAUUUGUGCGUAAGUUCACUUUCAAUGUUUUAACAAGCACUCUUCAAUUACAAUAUCUAAUAUACAAUCCUAACAUACUUUGUAAUUUUAAUGUACAAUUUUGUAUAAGAUAUAGAAAUAAAGUACAUAUAUGAUAUCAAUGGAGCUUUUGUGUAUAACUCGAAAACUGGAAUACAACACUUGUUAUAUGUAUAGGGAAAAGUUGUUCAGAACGAUCACCUUGAUAACAUAUUUCAAGCUCGCCGAAAUUAGUGAGGUGGUAGAUUUUCGAUAGCUUCACAUUUUUCUUUAAUCAUGGAAAUUUUCUCCAUGUCUCUAACUCGAAUAGUGACUUUGUAAAGUAUCUGAUAUUUUAACAGUUUUUUCUAUCUUGGCAAAGUAACGCGUAAAUAAUACACUUUUUUUCAGUAAUGUAGCAUUUACGUAACCUUUAUGCGUUAUUUUACCGUUUCGGCGUUAAUGAAUUAAUAAAACAUCCACUCGUAUAUACGAAAGUACGUACGUUGUAUAGUUUUCGUUUCAAUAAAAAAGUUAGUCGUUGCUGAUGCAGCAAAAUUAGUUAAACGAGAUCGUAAUAAAACCUUCCACGCAUCUUACAUAUUUCUUCGGCAACAAGCUUCCGAUUUCUAUAUUCCUAUUUCUCUAUACAAAUAAAAGCGCGUAUUCACGAAUGACCUA